GGCUGGUCCAAAGGUAGUGAGUUAUUUCAACUGAUUGUUCAAAGACUGAACUUAUUUUCCUCACUACUGCACUUACCUGGGGGAAA
Molecule: non-coding RNA, 86 nt
Filed under: Gorilla gorilla gorilla (western lowland gorilla)
Lineage: Eukaryota; Metazoa; Chordata; Mammalia; Primates; Hominidae
Source: RNAcentral